This 253-nucleotide ribosomal RNA is filed under the name uncultured bacterium. RNAcentral's name for it is "partial 16S ribosomal RNA". It matches the Rfam family "Bacterial small subunit ribosomal RNA", at positions 524 to 776 of the family's 1533-position model. The record is from RNAcentral.
UACAGAGGUCCCAAGCGUUGUUCGGAUUCACUGGGCGUAAAGGGUGCGUAGGCGGUCGGGUAAGCCUGAUGUGAAAUCUCACAGCUUAACUGUGAAACUGCAUUGGAUACUAUCCGGCUAGAGGAAUGGAGGGGAGACUGGAAUACUUGGUGUAGCAGUGAAAUGCGUAGAUAUCAAGUGGAACACCAGUGGCGAAGGCGAGUCUCUGGACAUUUCCUGACGCUGAGGCACGAAAGCCAGGGGAGCAAACGGG